RNAcentral lists this ribosomal RNA (460 nucleotides) under uncultured bacterium. RNAcentral's name for it is "partial 16S ribosomal RNA". It matches the Rfam family "Bacterial small subunit ribosomal RNA", at positions 338 to 795 of the family's 1533-position model. The record is from RNAcentral.
CCUACGGGUGACAGCAGUGAGGAAUAUUGGGCAAUGGACGCAAGUCUGAACCAGCCAUGCCGCGUGCAUGAAGACGGCUCUAUAAGUUGUAAACUGCUUUUGUACGGGGGUAAAUCUCUAUACGUGUAUCUUGUUGAAAUUAACGUACGUAUAAGGAUCGGCUAACCCCGCGCCAGCAGCCGCGGUAAUACGGAGGGUGCAAGCCUUAUCCGGAUUUAUUGGGUUGAAAGGGUGCGUAGGCGGUUCGAUAAGUUAGAUGUGAAAUUCCGGGGCUCAACUCCGGCAGUGCCUGGGAUACUGGCGGGCGAGAGUUUAGUAGAGGUAGGCGGAAUGUAUGGGGUAGCGGUGAAAUGCUUAGAGAUCAUACAGAACACCGAUUGCGAAGGCAGCUUACCGAGCUACUUCUGACGUUGAGGCACGAAAGCGUGGGGAGCAAACAGGAUUAGAUACCCGGGUAGUC